This 497-nucleotide ribosomal RNA is filed under the name uncultured bacterium. Its description in RNAcentral is "partial 16S ribosomal RNA". It matches the Rfam family "Bacterial small subunit ribosomal RNA", at positions 28 to 507 of the family's 1533-position model. The record is from RNAcentral.
GAUGAACGCUGGCGGCGUGCCUAAUACAUGCAAGUCGAGCGAACAGACGAGGAGCUUGCUCCUCUGACGUUAGCGGCGGACGGGUGAGUAACACGUGGAUAACCUACCUAUAAGACUGGGAUAACUUCGGGAAACCGGAGCUAAUACCGGAUAAUAUAUUGAACCGCAUGGUUCAAUAGUGAAAGACGGUUUUGCUGUCACUUAUAGAUGGAUCCGCGCCGCAUUAGCUAGUUGGUAAGGUAACGGCUUACCAAGGCAACGAUGCGUAACCGACCUGAGAGUGUGAUCGGCCAGACGGGAACAGAGGAGCGGUCCAGACACCGACAGGAAGCAACAGUAGGGAAUCUUCCGCAAUGAGCGAAAGCCUGACGGAGCAACGCCGCGUGAGUGAUGAAGGUCUUCGGAUCGUAAAACUCUGUUAUUAGGGAAGAACAAAUGUGUAAGUAACUAUGCACAUCUUGACGGUACCGAAUCAGAAAGCCACGGCUAACUACGUG